Molecule: ribosomal RNA, 253 nt
Filed under: uncultured bacterium
Lineage: Bacteria
Description: partial 16S ribosomal RNA
Rfam family: Bacterial small subunit ribosomal RNA
Source: RNAcentral
UACGUAGGGUGCGAGCGUUAAUCGGAAUUACUGGGCGUAAAGCGUGCGCAGGCGGUUCGUUAAGUCAGAUGUGAAAGCCCCGGGCUCAACCUGGGAACGGCAUUUGAAACUGGCGGGCUGGAGUGUGGCAGAGGGGGGUGGAAUUCCGCGUGUAGCAGUGAAAUGCGUAGAUAUCGAGAGGAACACCAGUGGCGAAGGCGAGUCCCUGGACAACUCCUGACGCUGAGGCACGAAAGCUAGGGGAGCAAACAGG